UACGGAGGGUGCGAGCGUUGUUCGGAAUUACUGGGCGUAAAGCGUGCGCAGGCGGUUGAUUAAGUCUGAUGUGAAAGCCCCGGGCUCAACCUGGGAAUGGCAUUGGAAACUGGUCAGCUGGAGUGUGGCAGAGGGGGGUGGAAUUCCGCGUGUAGCAGUGAAAUGCGUAGAGAUGCGGAGGAACACCGAUGGCGAAGGCAGCCCCCUGGGCCAACACUGACGCUCAGGCACGAAAGCGUGGGGAGCAAACAGG
Molecule: ribosomal RNA, 253 nt
Filed under: uncultured bacterium
Lineage: Bacteria
Description: partial 16S ribosomal RNA
Rfam family: Bacterial small subunit ribosomal RNA
Source: RNAcentral